RNAcentral lists this long non-coding RNA (287 nucleotides) under Homo sapiens (human). Its description in RNAcentral is "HSALNT0154307". The record is from RNAcentral. Lineage: Eukaryota; Metazoa; Chordata; Mammalia; Primates; Hominidae.
GCUGACAAGCCAGAGACGACCAAGGAGCAACUGGGAGAGUUCUACGAAGCUCUCGACUGCUUGCGCAUUCCCAAGUCAGAUGUCGUGUACACCGAUUGGAAAAAGGAUAAGUGUGAGCCACUGGAGAAGCAGCACGAGAAGGAGAGGAAACAGGAGGAGGGGGAAUCCUAGCAGGACACAGCCUUGGAUCAGGACAGAGACUUGGGGGCCAUCCUGCCCCUCCAACCCGACAUGUGUACCUCAGCUUUUUCCCUCACUUGCAUCAAUAAAGCUUCUGUGUUUGGAAC